RNAcentral lists this long non-coding RNA (887 nucleotides) under Heterocephalus glaber (naked mole-rat). RNAcentral describes it as "lncRNA (ENSHGLG00000045009.1)". The record is from RNAcentral. Lineage: Eukaryota; Metazoa; Chordata; Mammalia; Rodentia; Bathyergidae.
GUUCUGAAGGUGUAGUCAAGGUGCUGUGGUAUCUGGUGACAGUGGUCUGGUGGCAGGGUCCCAAGAUGGUGCUGGACAUCCCUUGGUCAGUGAUAGAAAAGAACAGAACAUACGGGAAAUGGGAAUAAAACAGCUACAUUGGGGAAGGAGAGAAGAGCGAAGGCUGAGAAUGUCCUAGAACUCUGCAACUUAAAGUGUGAUUCAGGGAUGGCUUCUGACCCUGCACAAGGAUCUUGGCAGAUGCACACUGCACAUUUCACUGAGCAUCACUGAAGUGCCAUGGAAAGAACAGAGUCAAAUCUAAAAGCAUUCAAGUCCACAGUUCUCCAUUUAUUACUGGGUGAUCUCAGGCAGAUAACUUCUGUUCCUUCAUGUAUAGAAAUUUGAAUGGCAGAAGAUACUAUGUAAAUUUUAUUAUAUCAGUUAAGCAUAGAACACACAUAAAAGCAGAGUUCCAGGCACAGAACUGCUUUUUUGAAUAAGCAGAAUCAGUGGUAUUUUCCACACAUUAUCUCAUAUAUUCCUCCCAGUAGCUCUGGGAAGUGGGGGGAUCAUAAGCCUAUUGUGUAGAGGACGAAACAGAGGCUUCCAAGACAGAGCCGAAGAAAAGGUUAAAUGCUUUGCUUGAAGUUAGAGCUGAAACCGAGAUGAUUCAUAGACCAAAAGAACUGCAUGAAAGUAGCACCCACGAUGUUCUCAAUCGCUUUUCCGGUUAUAUUUGUUGCUAACAAGUUGGCUGUGUGGGCAGCAAGUUGAUAAAGGGACUGAGUCAUUUAGCCUUGGUGCUAUUGUUUCCAUUUUACAGACUACAAAACUGACUUGGGUAGGAAAAUUCCAUCAAAAAUUUUAAUAUAGGAAAAAAAAAGAAUAAUAAAAAAGGCAAGACC